This 468-nucleotide ribosomal RNA is filed under the name uncultured bacterium. RNAcentral describes it as "bacterial SSU rRNA". It matches the Rfam family "Bacterial small subunit ribosomal RNA", at positions 26 to 518 of the family's 1533-position model. The record is from RNAcentral.
AGAACGAACGCUGGCGGCAUGGAUUAGGCAUGCAAGUUGAACGAACUCCUUCGGGAGUGAGUAGCGGAAGGGUGAGGAACGCGUGAGUAAUCUGCCCCCCAGUUGGGAAUAACAGUUGGAAACGACUGCUAAUACCGAAUGUGGCUUAAGCUUCGCCUGGAGCUUUGGCUAAAGAUUUAUCGCUGGGGGAUGAGCUCGCGUCCCAUUAGGUAGUUGGUGAGGUAACGGCUCACCAAGCCGACGAUGGGUAGCUGGUCUGAGAGGAUGGUCAGCCACACUGGGACUGAGACACUGCCCAGACUCCUACGGGAGGCUGCAGUCGAGAAUCUUGGGCAAUGCGCGAAAGCGUGAACCCCAGCAAUGCCGCGUGUAUGAUGAAGGCCCUCGGGUCGUAAAGUACUGUCUCCCGUGACGAAAUUUGACGGUAGCGGGGAAGGAAGCCACGGCUAACUACGUGCCAGCCGCAGC